GCGGAAUUCAGCCCGCAUCCCUGCGUUUUCCAUGGGAAAGAAAUCCGCGAGGUAUGAGGUCGGGAGCGCUUCCCCGUCCCUCUCCCUCGGCUCUCGACGCCGCUAUCUUCGCUCGCGAGUCACAACGCAUGGGCGAGACCGCCGCCGCCGCCGCCCAUGCGACCUCCAUCUCCGCCAUCAUGUCUGCGUAUGAGAUCACCACCACGAUGCCGGCACCUGCGUCUUCGCAGGUUAGUCCGCCUCCACCCGCAUCUCCUCCCCCAAGUCCACCACGAAUGAGAUCCCCGCUGCCGCUGCCGUGGAUCCACCCCCGCCCCCUGCGUCAUCACACCUGCUGCGCCUCCUUCGCGAGCCAGGACCUCGGCUGCUGCUUCGGGACUCCAGCACCUUCGCUUCCGCCAGCAUCCCCUUGCCCGCUAGGGUUUCUCCUCACCUCACACCAAUUCUUGUAGGUAUUGGGAAGGAAGAUCUGCAGACCUGCGGCCACAAGCAGAGGACGACCAAAGAGAUUUGGUCCUGGGCGUGGGUGUUGACUUGGUACUGUGGUAGUGACGAGACACUAUCCGUGCCAUGGCAAAGAUGGCUUCAAGUUCGAAUUGCAUUUUCUUGUUUGGUGCUGCUGAUGGUUGUGGUGGGCGUGAUGGUGCAGUCGGUAUUCAGCGCUCUGCAGCUGACCUUGGGCUUGAAGAAGAGUGAACUGGAAGGACGGCCUUUGUCAAGGUGCCGUCGUCAAGGCUGCACCAUGGUGGCCAUAUUUUGUUGUGGCCCUAUGAGUCUGUGUAGGCCUUGUAUACACAGCAUCGAUAACGAUUGCACUGUGAACUGUUGGUGGCUGCACCCGUGGCCGCGCACUGGUUGAUGGAGAGGGUGUAUCAUUAAACAGCUACCAGCAAUGAGACUUCUUCAGAGGUUGAUGUUCUUGCCUUGCAGAUGAAUUAGAAAAAUGAGAACAGUAGUGGUGGACAGGACUGUGAAAUUUAAACUUUUUUUUUCAUCUUCCAUGUUUUCUAGUGUUAGCAAUGAUAUAUGACAAGUUUAUCAUGGUCUUUAUUUUUUUCUGAAUUUUUCUUGAUCUUUUGAAGCUUUGUAAUUUUGCCUUGCAUGAGCUUGUUUAGAAGUAAAUGGCCUGAGCGUAGCAAAUGACGCCAACAGUGUUAGACCAACACAUGCUCGUAUUGGGUGUUAGCUGUUGGUUUUCUCGCUA
This is a long non-coding RNA of Panicum virgatum (switchgrass), 1204 nucleotides long. RefSeq lists it as uncharacterized. The transcript is spliced from 2 exons. The record is from RefSeq and is a predicted model, not a curated record. Lineage: Eukaryota; Viridiplantae; Streptophyta; Magnoliopsida; Poales; Poaceae.